GCACGUAGCCCUGAAUAUUCCCAGCCUUGUUGAUCUUAGAAGUUAUCAAGCUCAGGCCUGGUCCGUACUGGGUUAGCAGACUCCUUGGGAGUACUGGGUGCUGCAGGCG
Molecule: ribosomal RNA, 109 nt
Filed under: Octodon degus (degu)
Lineage: Eukaryota; Metazoa; Chordata; Mammalia; Rodentia; Octodontidae
Source: RNAcentral